UCAGGUUGCUUUCAUAAAGGAUCGGCCUAUAUUUCACCCUGCCGGCUUCGGCCGGAUAUGGCGAUAAACGGUCAGUGAAAUAAACCUUUCGGACCCGGGGGCGGUACCCGGCGCCUCCACCACAAGCAGCUUCGGCCCCGCGCCGCGUCACAGGCUGCUUCUGCUGGGGGCGAAACAGGAUCGACGAGGGUGUAAAGACUGUGCUUUCGCCCGGCAUGGUACCGUCGUUAUCGGGCCAAAAUGAUAGUUGCCAACGACAACUACGCUCCGGUUGCUCAGGCCGCGUAAGGCGGUUUGAAAUACCGAAAUCAAGCCCUGUAGGGUAGCACUUGCAGGCGGGGUCCGGAGGCACCUGGCAACAGAAGCCUCCACU
Molecule: transfer-messenger RNA, 373 nt
Filed under: Hyphomicrobiaceae bacterium
Lineage: Bacteria; Pseudomonadati; Pseudomonadota; Alphaproteobacteria; Hyphomicrobiales; Hyphomicrobiaceae
Rfam family: Alphaproteobacteria transfer-messenger RNA
About the family: Bacterial tmRNA, also known as 10Sa RNA or SsrA, is named for its dual tRNA and mRNA-like properties. Its role is to liberate the mRNA from a stalled ribosome.
Source: RNAcentral